Molecule: transfer RNA, 73 nt
Filed under: Camelus bactrianus (Bactrian camel)
Lineage: Eukaryota; Metazoa; Chordata; Mammalia; Artiodactyla; Camelidae
Also listed under: 2 other names
Rfam family: tRNA
About the family: Transfer RNA (tRNA) molecules are approximately 80 nucleotides in length. Their secondary structure includes four short double-helical elements and three loops (D, anti-codon, and T loops).
Source: Rfam by way of RNAcentral
GAGGGUAUAGCUCAAGCAGUAGAGUGCAUGCUUAGUAUGCAUGAGGUCCUGGGUUCCAUCCCCAGUAUCUCCU